This 250-nucleotide ribosomal RNA is filed under the name uncultured bacterium. RNAcentral describes it as "partial 16S ribosomal RNA". It matches the Rfam family "Bacterial small subunit ribosomal RNA", at positions 28 to 295 of the family's 1533-position model. The record is from RNAcentral.
GAUGAACGCUGGCGGCGUGCCUAAGACAUGCAAGUCGAGCGGUAAGGUCCCUUCGGGGAUACACGAGCGGCGGACGGGUGAGUAACACGUAGGAACGUACCCCAAACUGAGGGAUAAGCAUCAGAAAUGGUGUCUAAUACCGCAUGUGCUCUUCGGAGUAAAGCUCCGGCGGUUUGGGAACGGCCUGCGCAUGAUUAGCGUUGUUGGUGAGGUAAUAGCUCACCAAGGCGACGAUCAUUAGCUGGUCUGA